CACCUGCUGAGCAGCCCUCGGAGGACAGG
Molecule: small RNA, 29 nt
Filed under: Bombyx mori (domestic silkworm)
Lineage: Eukaryota; Metazoa; Arthropoda; Insecta; Lepidoptera; Bombycidae
Description: ovarian small RNA-12991
Source: RNAcentral